AGAGAACAAAUUUCUGCUGUUUUCAAACUACCAGUUUGUGAUAAUUUGUUAAGGCAGCCACAGAAAAUUGAUACUGACCCCAACACAUGAAAAUUUGAACCCACUUUAUCCCCACUAAGCAGAACAGAGGAUUCUGCUCUUCUCAGAUUUGAGGGUUCAGCAUGCUUCCCCCAUUGGAACCACUUAAUCAUCUGUCCAUGGCACAAGGACUACAACAGCCUUGUGCAUCCCAUAUCCCCAGAGUGUGGUGAGUACUUAUUGAAUUGCAUUAUACACCUUUAUCACUAAUCACUUGGGGUUCAGGUAUCUAAUUCAUGGAUUCAGAUCUCAGCUCCUACACUCACUACAGCUUGGUAACCAUGGCCCACUAGUCUCUGACUAGUCUCCGCUGACUCCUCUGUUUCCAAGGGGAUAGUUAUGACCUCAUAGCAUUGUCAUGAGGCUUCAGUGAAGUUCAGGGAAAGUUCCUCAAGAAGUGGCCCACUGCUUAACAGAAGCUCAAAAUCUCUUUGCUCCAGCCAGGGGUUGUGACUUAAGCCUAUAAAUUUUGGGAGGCUGAGGUGGGCAGAUUACUGGAGGCCAGGAGUUCAAGACCAGCCUGGCCAACAUGGCGAAACCCCAUCUUUAUGAGAAAUACAAAAAUUAGCUGGGUGCAUUGGCACAUGCUUGUAAUUCCAGCUACUCGGGAGGCUGAGGCACGAGAGUCACUUGAACCUGGGAGGCGGAGGUUACGGUGAGCCGAGAUCAUGCCACUGUACUCCAGCCUGGAUGACAAAAAUAGACUCCAUCUCAAAAAAAAAAAACGACUUUGCUCUUUUCAUCAAUAAUUAUAAUAUAAUUAUAAAAGAAGGAAAUGGCUUUAUUAUUAGUAGAAGAAAAUACUUCUAAUUGAAUUAGAAUAGAAUUAUUCAUCUAUAAUAAUUAUAAAAAGAAGGAAAAUGAUUAUAUUAUUAAUAGUAGAAGAAAAUCUGGCAGAAAGAACAAAAAAGAUGCAGCUUAGCGGAACCACUGUGUUUGAAAUCAGGAG
RNAcentral lists this long non-coding RNA (1027 nucleotides) under Homo sapiens (human). Its description in RNAcentral is "HSALNT0317974". Lineage: Eukaryota; Metazoa; Chordata; Mammalia; Primates; Hominidae. The record is from RNAcentral.